GUGUGUUUCGCAGGUGAAGUACCUGCAGUGGUUGGUGCCUGUCUGUGCCCUUGUGCCUUGCGCGCUGUUCCUCAUCGGCUCAGGGAUGUUUUAUUUCAUAAAGAAGAAGACGAGAGAGAGGCAUGGAAUGAGCGAGGAGACAGACCACAUCAACGCCUGAAGCUGAUGAUACGAUAGCUUCCAGCAUUGCUUUCACUGAUUCAAAAGCCUUGUUCAAGUGAAGGACUUCCCCUCCCAUUGGACCACUCCAGCAAACAGAUAAACGCGGAGGUGCCUUGUGCCACCCAGAAGGAAGAAUUCUUUUGUUUGUUUUUCUUCUUCAGUGUUUCCAGUUGAUUUACGCUUUAAAGUUGGCAUACCCAAUUGUCUUCUCAUCGCAUUAUUUUCUUAAAGGGAUUGUGAUUACAAUUUCAUGAAAAUAUAAUUAUCAGUACUAACCACUCCAUUUCAUUACUGGUGUUAAGAUCAUGUACCGUUUUUAUUGUGUGUGUUUGCAUUCUGGAGCUCAAAUUUAAAGAUUCAAAAAUAUGAAAAUGCCCAGCGCCUGGAGAGCUCAUUCAAGUCUCUCAUGCCAGGCUUCGAGUGACGUCACGUCACCAGAAGCUCAAGAAGCUGCUACCACAAACGCAAUGCGCUGUUUCCCGGGGUGCUUUGUAAAAGUUCGUCAUCCAAAUAGAUGGAGCAGUAGUUGAAAAGCUCCAAGCGGUCGCUUCAGUCUGAGCAGUAUACAUUUGUAUGUUUUAAUCUUUAAAUUUGAGCUCCAGAACAAACGGUACAGGGUCUUAAUGCUACUAAGCAAAUAAAGUGGUAAGUAUUAAUAUUUUUAGUUUGAUUAUCCUAUAACCACUGUCCUCAUAAACGACCACAGCUAUAUAUAUCUGAAAUAAAGGAGGGUCCCACCAACUAAUUACUUAACACUGCUAACACCCAAGUAUAUUUCCCAGUGUAUUGUGACAAACAAUAAAACGAGUAUGAAAGGUUUAUAUCUUUAUAUAAGUUGUUUGCUUUCGUUAGAUCAGAAAUCAUAAACAGAACAAAGCAUGAAUAUAUAAAAAAAAUGAAAAUACUUUGAAUUAAACCAGUACAGUAAGUCAAAAAGAAUAUAGCAAUUCUGCAAAGUAAAUCUUUAAACAAAAGAAUAAUGAAAUGGCAAUAACAAAUAACAAUAAAGAAACUUAUAUAAUCAAUUCAGGGUUGUAGAUUCCUUGGACAAGUAUGGACUCAUUACUAUGAAAGUCAAUUGUCAAUGAUGUUAAUGAUGAUGUUCCAGUUCCACAAUGGCUAGUCACAUUGACCUUCAAAAACGCAAAUAGUCCACAAAGUUACGAUCCACCGAAUCAAAUCCUUAUACUCAGGACGUUCAUUAAUCCAUAAGGAUUAAUGGAUGAAAAACCUUGUCCUUCUGGUAAACCUUGAUAUCCAAAAGGUGGAGCUUUAGUAAAUUGUUCAGAUUCCUCACACCAUAAUAUAACGUCACCUAUAGAGUCCAUAAGAUUAACCUGGAAACUAAGUUUCUCAAUCUGGACUCCCAAUACGUGUUUGCUGGAGGUGCUUAGCACAACACCAUGCUUCCCUCUUCCAAACACCACUGACUUCCUCUACCCUCCCACCAGUUUAAAUCAAAGGAGCUUUAGCGCUCAAGCGCCCCCUACGAGUGUGUAGAGUCAUUACAUGGGUAACAGCUAACACUGUUACAAUCCAGUUCUUAUUAUCUCUUUUAAGAAACUGUAGGUUUAUCUUAAAUUGAAAAAAAUCUGUCGCUAUGUAUGUUUUUAAAUAUGUAAUACCGUAAAUGUGCAAAAGCAAACUGAUUAUUGAUCCAACUGUGCUCACUGGGAUAUCCAAACACUUGGAUAUUAUUUUGUACCCUUUCCCUAAUCUAUGCAUUUGUAUUACUUUAUCUCAAACUUCUGUAGAAUGCUCUUUCGUCUUCAUUUUCCUUCAGAGUCACAGCCUGACCAAUGAUCCUUCAACAGUGGGUUUUUUAUCUAGAAAAUGUGACAGCAACUUUAUUGGUUCACAGGUGGAGGCCAAUGGUAAGGUAAAUGUGUCCUUGUUAUGGCAAUUUCUUCCAUCAGUGUAAACUGGACGCUUCCACAGCACAGGGGUUGAAUACUUAUGCAAGCAAGAUAUUUCUUUUUUUUUUA
Molecule: long non-coding RNA, 2147 nt
Organism: Cyprinus carpio (common carp)
Lineage: Eukaryota; Metazoa; Chordata; Actinopteri; Cypriniformes; Cyprinidae
Exons: 4
Source: RefSeq, a predicted model, not a curated record